CUAAUACCGCAUAAUCCCGAGAGGGCAAAGCCGAAAGGCACCGAAGGAGGAGUCCGCGGCCGAUUAGCUAGUUGGUAGGGUAAAAGCCUACCAAGGCAAAGAUCGGUAGCCGGCCUGAGAGGGCACACGGCCACACUGGCACUGAAACACGGGCCAGACUCCUACGGGAGGCAGCAGUGGGGAAUCUUGCACAAUGGGGGCAACCCUGAUGCAGCGACGCCGCGUGAGCGAUGAAGCCCUUCGGGGUGUAAAGCUCUUUCGGCAGGGAAGAUAGUGACGGUACCUGCAGAAGCAGCUGCGGCUAACUACGUGCCAGCAGCCGCGGUAAUACGUAGGCAGCAAGCGUUGUUCGGAGUUACUGGGCGUAAAGGGUGUGUAGGCGGUCCUGUAAGUUUGGUGUGAAAUCUCCCGGCUCAACUG
RNAcentral lists this ribosomal RNA (420 nucleotides) under uncultured bacterium. Its description in RNAcentral is "bacterial SSU rRNA". It matches the Rfam family "Bacterial small subunit ribosomal RNA", at positions 163 to 615 of the family's 1533-position model. The record is from RNAcentral.